CAAAGAUGAGUAUGGGAUGACCCCACUCAUAAACAGAAGCUGAGAAAGAAGAUCAGAAGGGGAAACUCAAAGCAAGAUCUGACUGAAUUUGGACUAUGGCACCAAAUUUCUAGUCUCAUUGAAAUUUUCAUUGAUAGAAGAAAAAAGAUGGCAGAAUCCAUCUCCAAAUUUUUACAACUGUUUUAAGUCUGGUGUUUCUUGAACCUGUGUGUCCUGAGUGAGUGAAAAGCAAUCCAGAACAGCAAUGACAUCUCAAGACAAGGUGCUUGGCUCUGGCCUUCAGCCCACUUAAGAAAAGAAUUCCAGGGGCCAUCAGAAAACAUGAUAGUGAGAGCUGGGGAAGUCCAAUUAAUGCAGAAACUGUUCUUUUGUAUUUGAAUUAAAAAAAAAAAAACUUAAUAGGAGAUAUAGAUGUAUCUAUUGUUUGGGACAGUUCAAAUCUUCCUGUUGGGGCUAGUAACUAGUAACCGUAAAAACCUGAUUGCGAUUUAUAAUAUCAGCAAAACAAA
Molecule: long non-coding RNA, 509 nt
Organism: Erinaceus europaeus (western European hedgehog)
Lineage: Eukaryota; Metazoa; Chordata; Mammalia; Eulipotyphla; Erinaceidae
Exons: 3
Source: RefSeq, a predicted model, not a curated record